UAAGUAACUAAUGUUUAUUUUCUUUUAUAAUUUAGCAUGUAUCAUGUUUUUUACAGGAACCGGUGAAUCAUAGCAACCACCACAGCAAUGCAAACUCUACUCAUAAAUUCUAGUAAUCAUUUCUCAGGAGUUUUGGAGUUUCGACGAGGAGGUACUCGACCCUAUAUCAAAUCAGCAGACAGCAGCCAUCGCAAGGCCCAACGCAACUCACAGCCCAUGUACGUUCCCCCUGCACAACGGAAAGACUAGACUCACAUGUACAUAGCCUCGCUGUUGUUAGUCUAGUACUCGUAUACUUAUUGUUUUGUACGCAGCUCAGUAUCAGAGUUGGUAUACUCCCCAUCUUGAGACUGACCAAGUCACUUUGUCUACUUCAUUAUAAAUUUAAGUGAUAUUCUUUAUGCCCAUGUAUCAUACUACUCAUCUUUGGUGAAAUAAUUGUUUUUUAUUGAGUAAUAGAUGUAAAAGUUAAGAGUUAAUAAAAUGUGAGCUUAUGAUGAACUUUUGUAUUUACACUUUUAAGUAUUUUUUGUUUUAUAUAUUUGUGUUAUUUUUUGUGAUCAACACAGUGUUUAUGACUGAAAAGACAUAAUUAUUAAAAUCAAUAUGUAUAUAUCAAACUGAAUACAUUCAGUACUACUUACAAGUAAAAAUUGCUAUCUAGGUUACAUUCCCAAAAUAAAACAAUAAGUGGUGAAAUGGUGCAAUUGAUCUAUAAAAAUCUGAAGCAUUUUACCACCCGAGUUUCUAUUCCUCACAAAGUUAUAACUUAAUUAAAGCAACAUAUUUUAUUAUGUCCAUCUACAUGCUACUUUAGAUUAAAGAUUUUUUUUUUUUAAACUCUAGAAAUCAAAUUAAUGCAGAAUUAAAGGGGGAACAGGAAACCUUGUUGACUCAAACUUUCGAACCUCUCAAACCCAUGGUCCAGUAUCAGUGGGGUGUACCUGACCUUCAGUAUAUACUAUAAACCGGUGUUGAUUAUAAUUUUGUUACAUCACAUAUGUUUUUGAUUAACUGCUUUAUUUUCUUACGUCUAACUAAUUAAUACAUAAUAUAUCUCUCGUAAGGAUGAAUUGUUAUUAUUUGUUUGUAAAAGAUUUGAAAUUAUUUAUUGUUGUCAUAGUGUUUUUGUUACAACAGUCAUUCUUUGUUCAUUAUAACCUUGUAAGAUUGUAUUUAUUUGUAAUUUCAUUACUCUUAGUAUAGUAAAUUAUUAAUUUACUUGAUAGUUUGUGUAUCUCUUUUCAACCUUCUUUGGAGAUUUAAUUCUAAUUUUGAAUUAAAAAUUUUUAAACAGA
Long non-coding RNA from Homalodisca vitripennis (glassy-winged sharpshooter), 1298 nucleotides. RefSeq lists it as uncharacterized. Lineage: Eukaryota; Metazoa; Arthropoda; Insecta; Hemiptera; Cicadellidae. The transcript has 2 exons. The record is from RefSeq and is a predicted model, not a curated record.